This 100-nucleotide non-coding RNA is filed under the name Cupriavidus metallidurans. Its description in RNAcentral is "Glycine sequence". It matches the Rfam family "Glycine riboswitch aptamer". From Rfam's summary of the family: This family represents the bacterial glycine riboswitch. Glycine riboswitches usually consist of two metabolite-binding aptamers domains with similar structures in tandem. The aptamers cooperatively bind glycine to regulate the expression of downstream genes. RNAcentral also lists the same sequence under 1 other name. Lineage: Bacteria; Pseudomonadati; Pseudomonadota; Betaproteobacteria; Burkholderiales; Burkholderiaceae. The record is from RNAcentral.
CCGCGUGUAUCGGGAGAGUCUGUGCCAGCCGCCCGGCCGACACGGCGCCGAAGGAGCAACCGCCCCGGAAACUCUCAGGCAAAAGGACCGGUACCCGCCA